Molecule: ribosomal RNA, 230 nt
Filed under: uncultured bacterium
Lineage: Bacteria
Description: partial 16S ribosomal RNA
Rfam family: Bacterial small subunit ribosomal RNA
Source: RNAcentral
AACGGCCACCAAGGCGACGAUCAGUAGCCGGACUGAGAGGUUGGCCGGCCACAUUGGGACUGAGACACGGCCCAGACUCCUACGGGAGGCAGCAGUGGGGGAUAUUGCACAAUGGAGGAAACUCUGAUGCAGCGACGCCGCGUGAGGGAAGACGGUUUUCGGAUUGUAAACCUCUGUCUUCAGGGAAGAAACAAAUGACGGUACCUGAAGAGGAAGCCACGGCUAACUAC